This 88-nucleotide transfer RNA is filed under the name Clostridium sp. CAG:307_30_263. RNAcentral describes it as "tRNA-Leu". It matches the Rfam family "tRNA". From Rfam's summary of the family: Transfer RNA (tRNA) molecules are approximately 80 nucleotides in length. Their secondary structure includes four short double-helical elements and three loops (D, anti-codon, and T loops). Lineage: Bacteria; Bacillati; Bacillota; Clostridia; Eubacteriales; Clostridiaceae. The record is from RNAcentral.
GCCUCGGUGGUGGAAUAGGUAGACACGUGGGACUUAAAAUCCCAUGGCUGAUGAAGCCGUGCCGGUUCGACUCCGGCCCGGGGUACCA